This 253-nucleotide ribosomal RNA is filed under the name uncultured bacterium. RNAcentral's name for it is "partial 16S ribosomal RNA". It matches the Rfam family "Bacterial small subunit ribosomal RNA", at positions 524 to 776 of the family's 1533-position model. The record is from RNAcentral.
UACGUAGGGUGCAAGCGUUGUCCGGAAUUAUUGGGCGUAAAGAGCUCGUAGGCGGUCUGUCGCGUCGGCUGUGAAAACCUGGGGCUCAACCCCGGGCCUGCAGCCGAUACGGGCAGACUAGAAUUCGGUAGGGGAGACUGGAAUUCCUGGUGUAGCGGUGAAAUGCGCAGAUAUCAGGAGGAACACCGGUAGCGAAGGCGGGUCUCUGGGCCUGUACUGACGCUGAGGAGCGAAAGCGUGGGGAGCGAACAGG